UGACGUCAAAUCAUCAUGCCCCUUAUGACCUGGGCUACACACGUGCUACAAUGGAUAGUACAAAGGGUCGCGAAGCCGCGAGGUGGAGCUAAUCCCAUAAAACUAUUCUCAGUUCGGAUUGUAGGCUGCAACUCGCCUACAUGAAGCCGGAAUCGCUAGUAAUCGUGGAUCAGCAUGCCACGGUGAAUACGUUCCCGGGCCUUGUACACACCGCCCGUCACACCACGAGAGUUUGUAACACCCGAAGUCGGUAGGGUAACCUUUAUGGAGCCAGCCGCCGAAGGUGGGACAGAUAAUUGGGGUGAAGUCGUAACAAGGUAGCCGUAUCGGAAGGUGCGGCUGGAUCACCUCCUUU
RNAcentral lists this ribosomal RNA (355 nucleotides) under Listeria monocytogenes. Its description in RNAcentral is "bacterial SSU rRNA". It matches the Rfam family "Bacterial small subunit ribosomal RNA", at positions 1180 to 1533 of the family's 1533-position model. The record is from RNAcentral. Lineage: Bacteria; Bacillati; Bacillota; Bacilli; Caryophanales; Listeriaceae.